CACUGGUACUGAGACACGGACCAGACUCCUACGGGAGGCAGCAGUGAGGAAUAUUGGACAAUGGAGGCAACUCUGAUCCAGCCAUGCCGCGUGCAGGAAGACUGCCCUAUGGGUUGUAAACUGCUUUUAUAGAGGAAGAAACCUCCCUUCGUGAAGGGAAUUGACGGUACUCUACGAAUAAGGAUCGGCUAACUCCGUGCCAGCAGCCGCGGUAAUACGGAGGAUCCAAGCGUUAUCCGGAAUCAUUGGGUUUAAAGGGUCCGUAGGCGGACUAAUAAGUCAGUGGUGAAAGUCUGCAGCUCAACUGUAGAAUUGCCAUUGAUACUGUUAGUCUUGAGUCAUUAUGAAGUGGUUAGAAUGAGUGGUGUAGCGGUGAAAUGCAUAGAUAUCACUCAGAAUACCGAUUGCGAAGGCAGAUCACUAAUAAUGUACUGACGCUGAUGGACGAAAGCGUAGGUAGCGAACAGGAUUAGAUACCCUGGUAGUCUACGCCGUAAACGAUGGUUACUAGCUGUUUGGUCGAUUGAGACUGAGUGGCUAAGCGAAAGUGAUAAGUAACCCACCUGGGGAGUACGUUCGCAAGAAUGAAACUCAAAGGAAUUGACGGGGGCCCGCACAAGCGGUGGAGCAUGUGGUUUAAUUCGAUGAUACGCGAGGAACCUUACCAGGGCUUAAAUGUAGUCUGACAGAUUUGGAAACAGAUUUUUCUUCGGACAGAUUACAAGGUGCUGCAUGGUUGUCGUCAGCUCGUGCCGUGAGGUGUCAGGUUAAGUCCUAUAACGAGCGCAACCCCUGUGGUUAGUUGCCAGCGAGUCAAGUCGGGAACUCUAGCCAGACUGCCGGUGCAAACCGUGAGGAAGGUGGGGAUGACGUCAAAUCAUCACGGCCCUUACGUCCUGGGCCACACACGUGCUACAAUGGUAGGGACAGAGAGCAGCCACUUCGCGAGAAGGAGCGAAUCUUCAAACCCUAUCACAGUUCGGAUCGCAGUCUGCAACUCGACUGCGUGAAGCUGGAAUCGCUAGUAAUCGGAUAUCAGCCAUGAUCCGGUGAAUACGUUCCCGGGCCUUGUACACACCGCCCGUCAAGCCAUGGAAGCUGGGGGUA
This 1107-nucleotide ribosomal RNA is filed under the name Mesonia algae. Its description in RNAcentral is "bacterial SSU rRNA". It matches the Rfam family "Bacterial small subunit ribosomal RNA", at positions 311 to 1419 of the family's 1533-position model. Lineage: Bacteria; Pseudomonadati; Bacteroidota; Flavobacteriia; Flavobacteriales; Flavobacteriaceae. The record is from RNAcentral.